RNAcentral lists this ribosomal RNA (433 nucleotides) under uncultured bacterium. RNAcentral's name for it is "partial 16S ribosomal RNA". It matches the Rfam family "Bacterial small subunit ribosomal RNA", at positions 29 to 507 of the family's 1533-position model. The record is from RNAcentral.
AACGAACGCUGGCGGCAGGCCUAACACAUGCAAGUCGAGCGCGCCCUUCGGGGUGAGCGGCGGACGGGUGAGUAACGCGUGGGAACGUGCCCUUUUCUACGGAAUAGCCUCGGGAAACGGAGAGUAAUACCGUAUACGCCCUUUGGGGGAAAGAUUUAUCGGAAAAGGAUCGGCCCGCGUUGGAUUAGGUAGUUGGUGGGGUAAUGGCCUACCAAGCCGACGAUCCAUAGCUGGUUUGAGAGGAUGAUCAGCCACACUGGGACUGAGACACGGCCCAGACUCCUACGGGAGGCAGCAGUGGGGAAUCUUAGACAAUGGCGGCAACCCUGAUCUAGCCAUGCCGCGUGAGUGAUGAAGGCCUUAGGGUUGUAAAGCUCUUUCAGCUGGGAAGAUAAUGACGGUACCAGCAGAAGAAGCCCCGGCUAACUCCGUG